GUGCUUAUUUUGGCAGCCCGUAUACUAAAACUGGAAAACAAUACAGAGAAGAUUAGCACAGUCCUUGUGCACGGAUGACAUGCAAAUCUGUGAACUAUUUCAUAUUUUU
Molecule: small nuclear RNA, 109 nt
Organism: Otolemur garnettii (small-eared galago)
Lineage: Eukaryota; Metazoa; Chordata; Mammalia; Primates; Galagidae
Source: Ensembl